CAUAAAGACGGAAUGUAAAGACUAUAUUAUCCAGGGGUCACGUUACAUUCUUCUCACAGUGCUACAGCAGACACACUCCAAGGCCCCACAUUUUAUAUAUUUAUUCGUUUGUGUUUAUUUAUAUAAUGAUGAAUUUUAUAAUUGAUUUUAGCAACCAAAUUCGAGCCCAUUUAAAAUCUUGUGAUAUUAUACACUCUCAAGAAAGAUUUUGGGGCUGAUCUAAGGAAGUGUGAAUAAUAAAGGGGCAGUUGGUUAGGAAACAAUAUCUAUAAUACUUCCAGCCUUUUCAUUUAGAAAAAAUCUGGUAUCUGAGUGCUCCCAGCCAGAUGCAGGUCAGUCUGAAGCAAGAAUGUGAACAGAGUGUCACCCCAAAAUCCCGUUGGUGAGAUGCCCAGGACUUGUGCUAGAAUCACUCAUUUUGCUGAAUGCUAAAAAUACAGCUUCAGUUUUAGGUGAUUGCCUUGAAGUGAUCUGAUCUCAAUUUGUUUAGGAUGCCUGAGCCCAUCAUUGAAGCUAGGAACAAUAGUAACUGCAAUGGCCGACAUUGGGGACAGGAGCAGAAAUCCCUACCUGGCCGCACUGGCCAGACCACAGUCGUCAGGUAGUGGUGGCCAAAGAGCCACCGGUUCAGUGGUUUGAGGAUUUCCUGUCGGAGGGGUGAGGCCGGCUGUGUAAGGUUGUAGGCACAGGCGGCAUUCAAGGUUGGUCAACAGCCCCUCGCCUCCAGGGAGAUGUUCCCUGGCGCCUGGUCAUCAUCAGUGACUAAGGGAGAUAAACCACUGAUUCUCAGCCCCACGAGGCCCAAUGCUCCUUUUUAUAAUAAAUAUUUUGUAAUACUCCCAUUACUAACCUAAAAUGAAAUUAAUAGCUUAUUUAAGCUACUGAUACAUAAUUUAAAAGAAAACAAAAUGCCGUAACUUGGGAAUAAAAAGGAAUGUAAAACAUAAUAAAAUAAUACAUAUUUCAAUAUGUGAAUGUUCAGACAUAAUUACAGUAGAAAACAUUAAAGCAUCAAAUGCUUGCAGCCAUGUUCUAUGUAGCAGUUACAAACAGACUGAUGGAUGUAAAUUUUAUUGAUGAUUAAAUACCACGCAUGGCCUUGUCACUGGUGAUGGUAAUUUUCCAAUACCAUGAACAACUCUUGGUAAAGUUUUUGAUGAAACAAAGGACAGAUAUUAUAUGAUUCCCCUUAUACGAAGUACCCAGAAUAGGCAAAUUCACAGAGCCAGAAAGUGGAUUAGAGGUUGUAAAGACCCAACGGGAAGGGGCCUGGGGAGCUAUUGCUUAAUAGGCACAGAGCUUCUGUCUGUGGUGACGAAAAGUUUUGGAAAUAUAUAGCAGUGAUGGUUGCACAACAUUUUGAAAGUACUUAAUGCCAUUGAAUUAUACACUUAAAAAUGGUUAACAUGGUAAAUUCUAUGUUGUGUAUUUUUACUACAAUAAUAAAAUACCCAAAAAAGUCUUGCAAAAAAAGUGUUUUGUUUAUAUACAAAACAGAGUUAGAUUCUAGUUCAGAUAAUAGUAAAUGGCCUUUCACUUACAUGAACGUCCUGCGGGACAUUUGAAAGUUAUGCAAGACAAUUCUUUGUCGUGCAGGCCUAUUCCAUCACUGGCCAAUCCCACGCAGUACCAGUAGGGCACCCCUUCGCUGUGAUGAAAAUGCCCCCGCCGUGUUCCAAUUGCCGUAGGAGGAUAGCAUCUCCCUCUCGAGAACCACUGAGAUGCCGGAAGCAGAGCCACGCAGGUUGCCUGGGUUGGGACCGGCCAGUGCCUGGAGUCCUCGUUGGGACGAGAGUGCUCGGCCCAGAAACCGCAGAAAUUCAGUUCUUUGAAGGAUCAGCAUGGAGCAUGAGGAGCAAGGGGAAGAAGGAUGUGGGAACUAUGACAUGAAAGCUGCCGCCGGUUCUGACCCCUGGCACCCCGGCUCCUGGUUUCUCACGCAGAAAUGCUCACGGCAGUCCCCUCCCAGACGGUGGAGCUAGAGAGCCUGGGACUCGGCUGGGUGGUGUGGGCUGGCGCGGGAUGGGGCAGGGCUGACUCGGCCAUCCACAGAUGAUGCGGCAGUGCUGCUGACUAUGACGGUGGCAAUAACAGCUGCUAUUUAUUGAAUAAUUAGCAAGUUCUUUACUAUAUUUUCAUGUAAUUUUAACAACUAUUUAUUACAGGUGGGAAAACAAGUUCAGGCAGCUGGGAGGUGCUCGGAAAAUCAAAAGUCAUGGAGAGAAGGCGGGAGCCCAGUCACAGAGAUUCCUAGCCGACAGAUUCGAAUCUGCUCGUUCUGAAGUCCCACUCGGCUGACCUCCACGUGCGGAUGCGGCCGAGUUCCUCCCCCCAACCCCGCGGUUUGCUGGGGCGUCAGCUGGGGAGCCAGUGCCGCCGGCCGUGCGGGGGUCCAGCCACUUCCCCGCCGGCCGAAGGACACUGCCAGCGCCCUCUUCUCCCGCUUUCCUCCGGUCGCAGGGAUCUGACUGAUGGAGGGGCGCUCAGCCCGCCACCGUGAUGCAGCGCCGCUUGGAAAGCACUGACUUCUCCCAAGAGGCUUGGAGCUCCUGGGGCUAGAAUGAGUGUGGUUGGCUGACAGCUGCUUCUGGAGCGGCCUCCCUCUCGGACUUCACGCCCGAUGGUCGCCUGCGGAGGCUUCCGGGUCCAGCGUGGGACCCCAGGCACAGAAAUGAGGAAACAUGAGGCCCGGGUCACACCCCUGGAAUCCGGCAGAACUGGGUCAGGAGUUCAGGUCCUUUCAUUGCAAGCCCCAGUGCCUUCAGCAAGGGAUUUGUGUGUCUGCUGGAGAUCAUGAUUUUGAAGGAGGCAGUUCUCAGAACGUGAUGCUCUGAUUGGCCCCCAAACCUCCAUCCUGAGCUCCAGCCUCCGCCCUCCUGAAGCCGUUGGAUUACCUGCUGCUGCUAUGAACAAGGAGGGUCUUCAGACAGCUUCUAGAAUUUCAAGCUGGAAACGCUCCCAGGGAGAAGACAUGGUCAACCCUACAUCUCUGGUGAGGCCCAACCACCCUCCUGGAACUCAGAGGCAGCCUGAGGGCUCUUCCACACUGCUUUCAGCUCUUCACCACUGUGCCGAAGACUACGAGGAACACGUGAGCGCAUGACUCAGAAGCCUCAGGGAAGAUGGAGGGCGAGGUGCUGGCAAUUUUUCCGGCAACUCUUUGCGUGAGAUGACAUGCAACAGGGAGCAGGGCUAUUCUGGCCUUGUGGGGAGAGAGAUUGGAAGACGUGACAUUUGUUCCACAGCUGGCUGGCGGCACUGGUUCUGAGCUUUUGUAGAGAGGAGGUGAACAGGCAGCAGCAGAAGAAAGGGGAGAUGUGGACACAGAGACAGAGGCGCAGAGGAAAGAUGAGAAGACGCACAGGGAGAAGACCGCCGUGUGACUGGAGUGAUGCAUCCACCAGCCAACGAAGCCCCAGGAUUGCCAGGAACACCCAAAGCGACAAGAGGCAAGGAAGAAUUCUCCCCUAGAGCUGUCAGAGGAAACACAGCCCUACGGACACCUUGAUCUCAGACUUCUGGCCUCCAGAACUGUCACAGAAUACAUUUCUGUUGUUUUAAGCCACGCAGCUUGUAGUGCUGUGUUUUGGUAGCCAAGAGAGUGCUCAGCCAGUGCUCUCUCUGAGGGGACACCAUGAGCUGGUUCUGAGAGUAUGGAAGCAACUGGAAGCUGGAACCAACCACUACUAGAAUCACCUGCCACUACUAGGAUGGAACACUCUGGUUGGCAUGACGCUGACAGAGACAAUGAGCAAAACAGAAGUGCCCUCUCUCUCUUCCAGCCUUCCUGUCACCUCUUAUUUGCUCCUUGGCCAAUGCCCAUGUAAUGGGGGGCCAGCUGUCAGGGGAGAAACAUUGUGUGCCAAGUCCUGGCUUCACAGAACUGACUCUGGCAGGUGGAGGGGGAGCUGAGAGACAAGAGCCUAGUACCCAGCAUCGGGCAUGGAAGCUUGGGUGGGGAAAAAAACCUCAUCUUUAUUUUCAUUAUCCUCUCUCUGAGAUCUAGCAUUCCCUUCCCUUAUGAAUAUGGGCCAAAAAUAAAUGGAGAAAACCACAGUAGUAUUAGCAGAACCUAUAACUCUGUCACUAAUGUUUUCAUUGCACGUUAGAGUUGCUGCAGAUAUUUCAAAUUAUCAUUUACGCUUAUCACCACUACUUAAAAAUUACGGUAGGUGUUAGACUUGCUGCUAGAUCUGGUAAUUCAAUAUGCUAAUAAAGGGGCAAACGGAUUACCAGCAUGAUUUUGUUUUUUAAUGUUUUCAUAACUUUAUUUAGUGUAUGACUUCCUUUUGUACUUGAGUUAUUAUUGUAUUUUAUGCAUUAAAAAUCUUAUUUUGGAAAGAUGACCAAAGACUUCACCAGACUGACAAAGGAGUCCAUGGCACCAAAAAAUAGCUGAAGUAUCAUUAGGAGGAAGGAAGGAUAACCAGGCAGAGCAGAGGAUUUUGGGCAGUGAAACUGUUCUGUAUGAUACUGUAAUGAUGGACACGUGACAUCAUAUAUUUGUCCAAACCUGCAGAAUGGACAACACCAAGCAUGACCCUAACGUAAACCAUGG
Molecule: long non-coding RNA, 4558 nt
Filed under: Equus caballus (horse)
Lineage: Eukaryota; Metazoa; Chordata; Mammalia; Perissodactyla; Equidae
Description: lncRNA (ENSECAG00000053117.1)
Source: RNAcentral